GGGGAAUAUUGCACAAUGGGCGCAAGCCUGAUGCAGCCAUGCCGCGUGUGUGAAGAAGGCCUUCGGGUUGUAAAGCACUUUCAGCGAGGAGGAAGGGUAGUGUGUUAAUAGCACAUUGCAUUGACGUUACUCGCAGAAGAAGCACCGGCUAACUCCGUGCCAGCAGCCGCGGUAAUACGGAGGGUGCAAGCGUUAAUCGGAAUUACUGGGCGUAAAGCGCACGCAGGCGGUUUGUUAAGUCAGAUGUGAAAUCCCCGCGCUUAACGUGGGAACUGCAUUUGAAACUGGCAAGCUAGAGUCUUGUAGAGGGGGGUAGAAUUCCAGGUGUAGCGGUGAAAUGCGUAGAGAUCUGGAGGAAUACCGGUGGCGAAGGCGGCCCCCUGGACAAAGACUGACGCUCAGGUGCGAA
RNAcentral lists this ribosomal RNA (409 nucleotides) under uncultured bacterium. RNAcentral's name for it is "partial 16S ribosomal RNA". It matches the Rfam family "Bacterial small subunit ribosomal RNA", at positions 356 to 757 of the family's 1533-position model. The record is from RNAcentral.